RNAcentral lists this ribosomal RNA (497 nucleotides) under uncultured bacterium. RNAcentral describes it as "partial 16S ribosomal RNA". It matches the Rfam family "Bacterial small subunit ribosomal RNA", at positions 28 to 507 of the family's 1533-position model. The record is from RNAcentral.
GAUGAACGCUGGCGGCGUGCCUAAUACAUGCAAGUCGAGCGAACAGACGAGGAGCUUGCUCCUCUGACGUUAGCGGCGGACGGGUGAGUAACACGUGGAUAACCUACCUAUAAGACUGGGAUAACUUCGGGAAACCGGAGCUAAUACCGGAUAAUAUAUUGAACUGCAUGGUUCAAUCGUCAAAGACGGUUUUGCUGUCACUUAUAGAUGGAUCCGCGCCGCAUUAGCUAGUUGGUAAGGUAACGGCUUACCAAGGCGACGAUGGGUAGCCGACCUGAGAGGGUGAUCGGGCACACGGGAAGUGAGACACGGUCCAGACUCCGACGGGAGGCAGCAGUAGGGAAUCUUCCGCAAUGGACGAAAGCCUGACGGAGCAACGCCGCGUGAGUGAUGAAGGUCUUCGGAUCGGAAAACGAUGUUAUUAGGGAAGAACAAAUGUGUAAGUAACUAUGCACGUAUUGACGGUACCUAAUCAGAAAGCCACGGCUAACUACGUG